This 460-nucleotide ribosomal RNA is filed under the name uncultured bacterium. RNAcentral's name for it is "partial 16S ribosomal RNA". It matches the Rfam family "Bacterial small subunit ribosomal RNA", at positions 338 to 795 of the family's 1533-position model. The record is from RNAcentral.
CCUACGGGGGGCAGCAGUGAGGAAUAUUGGUCAAUGGGCGCGAGCCUGAACCAGCAAAGUAGCGUGAAGGAUGACUGCCCUACGGGUUGUAAACUUCUUUUAUAAAGGAAUACAGUGAGGCACGUGUGCCUUUUUGUAUGUACUUUAUGAUUCAGGAUCGGCUAACUCCGGGCCAGCAGCCGCGGUAAUACGGAGGAUCCGAGCGUUAUCCGGAUUUGUUGGGUUUAAAGGGAGCGUAGAUGGGUUGUUAAGUCAGUUGUGAAAGUUUGCGGCUCAACCGUAAAAUUGCAAUUGAAACUGGCAGCCUGGAGUACAGUUGAGGUAGGCGGAAUUCGUGGUGUAGCGGUGAAAUGCUUAGAUAUCACGAAGAACUCCGAUUGCGAAGGCAGCCUACUAAACUGCCACUGACAUUGAUGCUCGAAAGUGUGGGUAGCAAACAGGAUUAGAUACCCUAGUAGUC